CAAGACGCACGUGGUUCUCGCAUGCGUCAACAAGGCCAACUCCGAACUCUCCUCGCACCAGAAGAAGAUCUUCAAGGUCGACAACCACAUCGGCGUCGCCAUCGCCGGCCUCACUGCCGACGGCCACGUCCUCUCCCGGUACAUGCGCUCCGAGUGCAUCAACUAUAACUACACCUACGAGUCCCCUCUGCCCGUCGGCAGACUCGUCGUUCAGCUCGCCGACAAGGCACAGGUCCUCAUUCCCCUUCCUUCCACAUAUGCUUUGUUUUUCUUCAGCGACAGAAGUAAUUACUAUCUCUCGCAUUUUAAUUGUUGGAAUUGGCACGACUCGUCUGGUGUUCCGCUGUUUAAUUUCGAUUUUAGGUCACGCGAUUAAACUGUGAAUUGCGUGUUGUAUGUUUGUUAAAUUUCGGAACUGUGAAUGCAUUUCGUUUUUCCUUCUUAUUUUUCUGUCAUACAAGUGCUUAUAAAGAAGUUUCUCCAAACAUAUCUAAUUUCUAUUAUAUGCAGUUACACAUAUUUAAGUUGUGUUUUAGUCGUAGAAAGUUGUAUAAAUAGGGCAUUGGAGACAAUUUUGCGCUUGUAUCUGCAGAAUUACAUGGCAAAAGAGA
RNAcentral lists this long non-coding RNA (611 nucleotides) under Phaseolus vulgaris (common bean). Its description in RNAcentral is "long non-coding RNA (PVUL_LNC003232)". Lineage: Eukaryota; Viridiplantae; Streptophyta; Magnoliopsida; Fabales; Fabaceae. The record is from RNAcentral.